GGUUCCGUAGUGUAGUGGUUUCACGUUCGCUUCACACGCGAAAAGGGCUCCGGUUCGGGUCCCGGAAGGGAAACCA
RNAcentral lists this transfer RNA (76 nucleotides) under Trichonephila inaurata madagascariensis. RNAcentral describes it as "tRNA-Val". The record is from RNAcentral. Lineage: Eukaryota; Metazoa; Arthropoda; Arachnida; Araneae; Nephilidae.